CGGAUCAGACGUGAUUACCCGCUGAACUUAAGCAUAUCACUAAGCGGAGGAAAAGAAACUAACCAGGAUUCCCCUAGUAACUGCGAGUGAAGAGGGAUUAGCCCAGCACCGAAGCCUGUGGUCAUUUGACUGCUAGGCAAUGUGGUGUUUAGGUUGGUUCUUGGCAUUACUGCUCUACUCCAAGUCCAGCAAUGAGUACGGCUUACUGGAACGGCCCAUAGAGGGUGAAAGGCCCGUGGGGGUAGAGGCUUACAGUUUUGUCCUGAAUUGACCAUGGAGUCGGGUUGUUUGUGAAUGCAGCCCAAAGUGGGUGGUAAACUCCAUCUAAGGCUAAAUACUGGCACGAGUCCGAUAGUAAACAAGUACCGUGAGGGAAAGUUGAAAAGUACUUUGAAGAGAGAGUAAACAGUGCGUGAAACCGCUCAAAGGUAAACGGGUGGAGUUGAACUGCAAUCCUUGAGGAUUCAGCUGAUGAGUAUGAUAUGGGCUUGGACAUAUUGACUGGCGCUCAGGGAUCAGCGAUUUGCUGGGUUUCUGCUCUUCGGAGUGGGAAUGCUUUGUGUACUUAUCAUGUAUACGGCUCUUUGGGUUGUCCGGGUCUGCUCGUCAGUGCACUUUCUCUUGGUGUUCACCACGACCGGCACUGCUGUCUGUCUACUAUGGUUAAACCGGUUAGGCUUAGUCUUAUGACUAGGCUUGAUCGGGAUGGCAGGUAGCUCUUUGAUUCUUGUCGGCUUCGGUUGGCUUGAGUCUUUGAGUGUAAUCAGCUGACUGUAGUGGAUCUGUGCAGUGUGUCGGAGCUGGCGGCUUUGGUAUGUGCAUGCGUGCUAUAGCCUUUUGGCGGAGCUGAGUCUGGUCGGCAGGUUACCUGUUUAUGCAGGUCGGUCGAUGUCUUGGUUUCGUUCAUUGGGUGGUGGCGUGUGUGAUACUAUCUUGGGCCAAUAGUCUGUGGUGUAGUGGUAAACGAUCCACCUGACCCGUCUUGAAACACGGACCAAGGAGUUUAACAUGUACGCGAGUCAUUGGGCGUUACGAAACCCAAAGGCGUAAUGAAGGUAAAGGUUCGGCUUGUCCGAGCUGAGGUGAGAUCCUGCUGUUUCCUUUGCCUUGCACUGUCAAGCUUUAGAGCAGUAGGCGCAUCACCAGCCCGUCUCAUGAUGUAGCCACGUAGCCUUGUGUUAUGUGCACCGUCGGGGCGGAGCUAGAGCGUACACGUUGAGACCCGAAAGAUGGUGAACUAUGCUUGCGGAGGUUGAAGCCAGAGGAAACUCUGGUGGAGGACCGCAGCGAUUCUGACGUGCAAAUCGAUCGUCUAACGUGAGUAUAGGGGCGAAAGACUAAUCGAACCAUCUAGUAGCUGGUUCCCUCCGAAGUUUCCCUCAGGAUAGCUGGCAUUCUGAGAAAUAAACAGUUUUAUCCGGUAAAGCGAAUGAUUAGAGGCAUUGGGGAAAAAAUAUCCUCAACCUAUUCUCAAACUUUAAAUGGGUGAGAUGCCUAACUCCCUUAAUUGGAGUGAGGCCUUGAAUGUGAGUGCCAAGUGGGCCAUUUUUGGUAAGCAGAACUGGCGCUGUGGGAUGAACCAAACGGUCGGUUAAGGUGCCUAACACGACGCUCAUGAGAUACCACAAAAGGUGUUGGUUGGUCUAGACAGCAGGACGGUGGCCAUGGAAGUUGGAACCCGCUAAGGAGUGUGUAACAACUCACCUGCCGAAUCAACCAGCCC
RNAcentral lists this ribosomal RNA (1723 nucleotides) under Spirorchis sp. ex Terrapene carolina JFXW-2014. RNAcentral's name for it is "eukaryotic LSU rRNA". It matches the Rfam family "Eukaryotic large subunit ribosomal RNA", at positions 1 to 1312 of the family's 3401-position model. The record is from RNAcentral. Lineage: Eukaryota; Metazoa; Platyhelminthes; Trematoda; Strigeidida; Spirorchiidae.